Molecule: long non-coding RNA, 789 nt
Filed under: Helianthus annuus (common sunflower)
Lineage: Eukaryota; Viridiplantae; Streptophyta; Magnoliopsida; Asterales; Asteraceae
Description: hypothetical non coding rna
Source: RNAcentral
CCAUCCAAACAUAUCAAACAAGAUAAUUCCAAAAUACAUCAUACCACAAAACAUCACUUUCUUCCUCUUAAACUCGUUAUCAACUCCAAAAUCUCGACACGAAGACCCGAAACCCUUUCAGGAGUAACACGUUCUUCAACUUUCGCAAACCACAAAUCCUCAUUCUUUGUCGAAUUGCCAUCAAACCAGUCACAUACUUCCUUCGCAAUGGCUAAAACAUACAAACCACAAUCAUAACCCGUAGCUUGUUGCGGGCUGCUCUCACAUUCCACAUAACGUGAUCCAGAACCACCCGUAUACGGAACAAGCGUUCUAUAAAGGCGUUUCGCAUCAUUCUUGUUCAUACCACCAUAACUGUCAUGAUGCACGAAUACAUUAGUGGCUUUCUCAAACGCAAGUAAGCUCCAGUGGCUGCCGCCUUCUACCGCCGUUACAUCAUCGUUGUUGUUUACAGGGAAGAUUAUAAGCUGUUUCGAUGGUAGGUUUAGGGGUUGUAGGAAAUCGUUGAGGCUGCUGGUGUCAGGACAGUUCAUUAUCCAGAAAGUGAUUGAAGGUGGGACGAGUAGAAUGUGUUCGGAAGGAUGUGAUGAAGAAAGAUAACUGAAGUAAAAUUCGAUUAUGCGAUCGUUAAGAUAAUAUGGACCGUUUAGAAUCCCUAAAUCGGAUUGCCGUAGCACGACGUCGUUAUAACUUAAGAUCUUCUCAUCGGCUGAGGAUUUUGGCAUGUUGCAGAUGUUAAUGUGGCACCUGGUUUAUCAAAAUAACAAGGAUCGUGUUCAAGUUACAUGA